This 231-nucleotide ribosomal RNA is filed under the name Escherichia coli. Its description in RNAcentral is "partial 16S ribosomal RNA". It matches the Rfam family "Bacterial small subunit ribosomal RNA", at positions 1 to 226 of the family's 1533-position model. The record is from RNAcentral. Lineage: Bacteria; Pseudomonadati; Pseudomonadota; Gammaproteobacteria; Enterobacterales; Enterobacteriaceae.
UUAAAUUGAAGAGUUUGAUCAUGGCUCAGAUUGAACGCUGGCGGCAGGCCUAACACAUGCAAGUCGAACGGUAACAGGAAGAAGCUUGCUUCUUUGCUGACGAGUGGCGGACGGGUGAGUAAUGUCUGGGAAACUGCCUGAUGGAGGGGGAUAACUACUGGAAACGGUAGCUAAUACCGCAUAACGUCGCAAGACCAAAGAGGGGGACCUUCGGGCCUCUUGCCAUCGGAU